Molecule: long non-coding RNA, 342 nt
Organism: Mytilus californianus (California mussel)
Lineage: Eukaryota; Metazoa; Mollusca; Bivalvia; Mytilida; Mytilidae
Exons: 4
Source: RefSeq, a predicted model, not a curated record
UAUAGACAAAACAAGAAUAAUAAUGAAUUCAGAUAUCAAUUAAAAUUGUAUAUAGAUCAGAGCUAUAAUUACGAAAAGGUGAGAAAUGUUGAAAUUUGUGAUGUUUCUGCUUCUUGCUGGUCUACUGAUUGUUCCGCACGCCGUGGAAGGAAAAACUUGCUAUCAGAGGGUAUGUUUGUGUAAAUAUAGCUACUGUUGUAAGACAUAUUCCUACCCGUGUUGGGGAAGAAGACGCUCACUGGACGACGAGGUUCGACUUGCUGACUUAGAAGACAACUAGUUGAUAAAAACAUCUAUGCAGUCAAAUACCAGUCAGUAUAACAAUAAAACGUUUAUCAAUUA